This 497-nucleotide ribosomal RNA is filed under the name uncultured bacterium. RNAcentral describes it as "partial 16S ribosomal RNA". It matches the Rfam family "Bacterial small subunit ribosomal RNA", at positions 28 to 507 of the family's 1533-position model. The record is from RNAcentral.
GAUGAACGCUGGCGGCGUGCCUAAUACAUGCAAGUCGAGCGAACAGACGAGGAGCUUGCUCCUAUGACGUUAGCGGCGGACGGGUGAGUAACACGUGGAUAACCUACCUAUAAGACUGGGAUAACUUCGGGAAACCGGAGCUAAUACCGGAUAAUAUAUUGAACCGCAUGGUUCAAUAGUGAAAGACGGUUUUGCUGUCACUUAUAGAUGGAUCCGCGCCGCAUUAGCUAGUUGGUAAGGUAACGGCUUACCAAGGCGACGAUGCGUAGCCGACCUGAGAGGGUGAUCGGCCACACUGGAACUGAGACACGGUCCAGACUCCUACGGGAGGCAGCAGUAGGUAAUCUUCCGCAAUGGGCGAAAGCCUGACGGAGCAACGCCGCGUGAGUGAUGAAGGUCUUCGGAUCGUAAAACUCUGUUAUUAGGGAAGAACAAAUGUGUAAGUAACUAUGCACGUCUUGACGGUACCUAAUCAGAAAGCCACGGCUAACUACGUG